This 328-nucleotide ribosomal RNA is filed under the name uncultured Clostridia bacterium. Its description in RNAcentral is "bacterial SSU rRNA". It matches the Rfam family "Bacterial small subunit ribosomal RNA", at positions 28 to 339 of the family's 1533-position model. Lineage: Bacteria; Bacillati; Bacillota; Clostridia. The record is from RNAcentral.
GAUGAACGCUGGCGGCGUGCCUAACACAUGCAAGUCGGACGGUGAAAGAAGACGGAAGCCUUCGGGCGGAAGUUUUUUGGAUCAGUGGCGGACGGGUGAGUAACGCGUGGAUAACCUGCCUCAUACAGGGGGAUAACAGGGAGAAAUCACUGCUAAUACCGCAUAAGCGCACAGGAUCGCAUGGUCUGGUGUGAAAAACUCCGGUGGUAUGAGAUGGAUCCGCGUCCGAUUAGCCAGUUGGCGGGGUAACGGCCCACCAAAGCGACGAUCGGUAGCCGGCCUGAGAGGGUGAACGGCCACAUUGGGACUGAGACACGGCCCAAACUCC